This 1269-nucleotide ribosomal RNA is filed under the name Melaphis rhois (sumac gall aphid). Its description in RNAcentral is "16S ribosomal RNA". The record is from RNAcentral. Lineage: Eukaryota; Metazoa; Arthropoda; Insecta; Hemiptera; Aphididae.
UAAUUAAUAAAAUUAAUUUUUUUUUAUUUAAGUAAAGAUUUUAUAAAAGUAUUUUAAUUAUAUUUUGUUUUAGUAUUAAGUAAAAAUAAAUUUAUAGAUUUAUAGUUUAAUAGUAUUGUGAAAGAAUUUUUAAAAAUUUUUAAAAGAAUUUUUUUUAGUACCUUUUGUAUCAGGGUUAAUUAAAAUUUUUAAUUUAAUUUUAAAUUCUCAAAAUUUAUAGAGUUAAUUUUAUUAUUAAUUUAUUAUUUUAUAAAUAUUUAAAAAAUAAUUUUAGUUUUGAAAUUUAAUUCGUUAUAAUAUAUUUAGUUAUUUAAGAUUUAAAUUUAAUUUAAAAUUUUAAAAGUUUUAUUUAUAUAUAAAUAGAAAUUAUUUUAAAUUUAAAUUAUUUUAGGGAUAAGCUUGGAAUUUUUAUAAAAUAAAGUAUAUUUAAUUAAUAAUUUUUAGGAAUAGAAAUUUUUAUUUAAGUUUGUAAAAAUUUAUUAUUUAAUUUUAUUUAAUUUAUUAUAUGUUUAUUUAUUUUUAAUAUUAAAUUUUAUAAAUUAAUAAUUUAUUUAUAGUAAUAAUGAUUAAAUUAGUAUAAUUAAAUAUUUAUAAAUUAUGAAUUUGGCAAAAAUUAUUUUCAUCUGUUUAACAAAAACAUAGUAUUAAGAUUUAUUUAAUAUAGAAUCUGCUCAAUGAAUUAAUUUAAAUAGCUGCAGUAUAUUGACUGUGCAAAGGUAGCGUAAUAAUUAGUCUUUUAAUUGGGGACUAGAAUGAAAGAUUUGAUGAGAAAUAGACUUUAUUGUUUAUAGAAUUAAAAUUUUAUUUUUAAGUAAAAAAGCUUAAAUAUUUUAAAGGGACGAUAAGACCCUAUAAAACUUUAUAAUUUAUUGUAUAAAGAUAUUUGGGUCAUAUAAAUUUUUAUAUUUUAAAUUAUUUUAUUGGGGUGAUAAAAAAAAUUAAUUAACUUUUUUUAAAAUUUUACAUUAAUUAAUGAUUUAUUGAAUUAAAAUUUUUAAUUAUAGGAAAAAGUUACUUUAGGGAUAACAGCGUAAUUAAUUUUUUAAGUUCAAAUUUAAAAAUUAGUUUGCGACCUCGAUGUUGAAUUAAGAUUAGUCUUAGGUGCAAAAUUUUAAGUUAUAGGUCUGUUCGACCUUUAAAUUCUUACAUGAUUUGAGUUCAAACCGGUGUAAGCCAGGUUGGUUUCUAUCUUUUAAUAUUAUUAUUAUUUUAGUACGAAAGGAUUGAAUAAUAAAAUAAAAUUUUUAUAUAAUUGAAUUAAAUUAAUAG